AUCCAGUUGAUGAGUCCCAAAUAGGACGAAACACGUUUCCUUGAU
This 45-nucleotide non-coding RNA is filed under the name Schistosoma mansoni. Lineage: Eukaryota; Metazoa; Platyhelminthes; Trematoda; Strigeidida; Schistosomatidae. The record is from RNAcentral.